GUGCCAGCCGCCGCGGUAAAACGUAGGAGGCGAGCGUUAUCCGGAUUUACUGGGCGUAAAGCGUACGCAGGCGGCUUCGUUAGUCGGAUGUUAAAGCUCCUGGCUUAACUGGGAGAGGCCAUUCGAUACUGCGGGGCUUGAGGUUGGGAGAGGGGUAUGGAAUUCCCGGUGUAGUGGUGGAAUGCGUAGAUAUCGGGAGGAACACCAGUGGCGAAGGCGGUACCCUGGCCCACACCUGACGCUGAGGUACGAAAGCGUGGGUAGCAAACAGGAUUAGAUACCCCUGUAGUCC
RNAcentral lists this ribosomal RNA (292 nucleotides) under uncultured bacterium. Its description in RNAcentral is "partial 16S ribosomal RNA". It matches the Rfam family "Bacterial small subunit ribosomal RNA", at positions 505 to 796 of the family's 1533-position model. The record is from RNAcentral.